AGUCCGUCGACCGGGGUGCCCUUCCAGGGCCGCUCCCGAGCCCUGUGCCUGUGUUUGUUGUUGCAGAAGUGUGAAACGCCGCUCCGUUCAGGUGGCCAGGCGUUCUACGUUACGUACUGGUGUUAGAAAGCUGUUAAGUUUGUGUUAUGUCGUUACGUUACGUUGUACACUGAGCUUUAAGCACUGUUACCGACAUGUUACGUUACGUUAAGUUUGUUGUUACGUUAUGUUUGUUGGUUGUUACGUUGCGACGAAGAAAUCUCUGUUGUUGUUAAGUUUUGGAAAGAAUUCACCUGUUCUGUUUACCCUUUACCACUUUGGCAGUCGAAAAUCAAAAUUCGUUUAUGUUGCGUUAUUGUUAAGUUUACAACCACGUUAAGGUUAAGUUUAUGUUAAGUUUCGACGAGAUGUGUUCAGGUAGCGUGGAAUUUAACAUGAUUCCCUGUACCGUAAUUGUUAUGUUUUUUUUUUCACUUAUUUUGUGUUUAUUUUUAGUUUCAGUUUUUUUUAUUUUCACGUUUUUUCUCCAAAAGAACCACUACAUAAAAAAAAUAAAAAAAAAAAUCGUAAAAGUACACAAAUCCGGGAGUUGGUACGAAAUUGACAGUCAGUAAAUCGUAACGAAUUAGUUAAUAAUAAUAAUUAUAAUUAGGGUGUGUUGUAGACUUAAUUAGGUUAUUUUAGGUUACCAGACCGGUGUUAAAGUUACGUAAUCAAUUACCAUUAGUUAUAGUUAAGUUUAAUUAGGUGUUAGUUCUUUGGUUGCCUUUAGUGCCUUAUUAAUUUUACUAUAAGUUCCAACUUUCUCCCAUUUGAACUUUUACUCAAAGUUCCGAGAACACUUUUUCUUUGACCGCUUCGAGGCACUUUGAGUACCUUUCAUAUGGCAGAACGUUCCACCUUUACUUUCUUAUUUAGUUAGGGGACAGUACACUUGAUUUUGAGUACAAUACUGACAAAAAUAGUUUUCCGACAGUUUGCUUUUGUACGAUCUGCUCUUCUACCACUUUUUGUUUUUUUUUUUGUUAAGUUUUUUUUUUGUUUGUAAAUACUGUACAUAAUAAUACCAAAUAAACCAAAAUUUCCAA
Long non-coding RNA from Zophobas morio, 1088 nucleotides. RefSeq lists it as uncharacterized. The record is from RefSeq and is a predicted model, not a curated record. The transcript has 2 exons. NCBI's taxonomy places the organism in Eukaryota, Metazoa, Arthropoda, Insecta, Coleoptera, Tenebrionidae.